Molecule: ribosomal RNA, 626 nt
Filed under: uncultured eukaryote
Lineage: Eukaryota
Description: eukaryotic LSU rRNA
Rfam family: 5.8S ribosomal RNA (bases 203-356)
Source: RNAcentral
UAAAAGUCGUAACAAGGUUUCCGUAGGUGAACCUGCGGAAGGAUCAUUAGUGAAUAUAGGACGUCCAACUUAACUUGGAGUCCGAACUCUCACUUUCUAACCCUGUGCACUUGUUUGGGAUAGUAACUCUCGCAAGAGAGCGAACUCCUAUUCACUUAUAAACACAAAGUCUAUGAAUGUAUUAAAUUUUAUAACAAAAUAAAACUUUCAACAACGGAUCUCUUGGCUCUCGCAUCGAUGAAGAACGCAGCGAAAUGCGAUAAGUAAUGUGAAUUGCAGAAUUCAGUGAAUCAUCGAAUCUUUGAACGCACCUUGCGCUCCAUGGUAUUCCGUGGAGCAUGCCUGUUUGAGUGUCAUGAAUACUUCAACCCUCCUCUUUCUUAAUGAUUGAAGAGGUGUUUGGUUUCUGAGCGCUGCUGGCCUUUACGGUCUAGCUCGUUCGUAAUGCAUUAGCAUCCGCAAUCGAACUUCGGAUUGACUUGGCGUAAUAGACUAUUCGCUGAGGAAUUCUAGUCUUCGGACUAGAGCCGGGUUGGGUUAAAGGAAGCUUCUAAUCAGAAUGUCUACAUUUUAAGAUUAGAUCUCAAAUCAGGUAGGACUACCCGCUGAACUUAAGCAUAUCAAUA